CGGCGACCUGGGUCCUCGCACCACCAUGCUAUUUCCACCCGCCGGUACACGGAGACUCUACGCGUGCGCAUUACCCAGGAAGGAACGCAGAGCCUUCAUCAGCGAUGUCCAUCCAGGAGCCAUCAUCAGUGACACUUGUCUAGCACUGUUUGUUCUCUGUAAGGUGCCUGUGGUUGACCACUCUCUGGGCAAGUCAGGAGAUUCUGGGUAAUUUUGUACUCAGUACUACCAUUUGUCCAGUGUCCCCCCCCCCAUGGGUGGUUCCCCACUGGAAGAGGGUAUCCCAAGUUGCCUUAGAGCCUUGACUGGUCUCUAUGUUGCUACUCUGUUUAGCUUCUGAGUCACUGAUCCAUUUCUGGUGACCAAUAGGAACUAAAAAGGGAGUGACACAUGGUUGAAGGAUCUCAUCAGUUGAAAACCAGAUUGGGUCCUCAGCCACCAAGAGCUGUCCUUUGGGACUAUAAGGGUUUGUAUGUAGUUAGAAAUCAUCUUUACUGAGAUAAACAUGGUGACGCAGGCCAAGAGGUAGAGGCAGGAGGAUCAGGAAUUCAAUGUCAUCCUCUAUUAUAUAGUGAGUUCAAGGCCAGACUGG
RNAcentral lists this long non-coding RNA (592 nucleotides) under Cricetulus griseus (Chinese hamster). RNAcentral describes it as "lncRNA (ENSCGRG00000026376.1)". The record is from RNAcentral. Lineage: Eukaryota; Metazoa; Chordata; Mammalia; Rodentia; Cricetidae.